GACGAACGCUGGCGGCGUGCCUAAUACAUGCAAGUGGGACGCAAGGGAACACACUGUGCUUGCACACCGUGUUUUCUUGAGUCGCGAACGGGUGAGUAACGCGUAGGUAACCUGCCUAUUAGCGGGGGAUAACUAUUGGAAACGAUAGCUAAUACCGCAUAAUAUUAAUUAUUGCAUGAUAAUUGAUUGAAAGAUGCAAGCGCAUCACUAGUAGAUGGACCUGCGUUGUAUUAGCUAGUUGGUAAGGUAAGAGCUUACCAAGGCGACGAUACAUAGCCGACCUGAGAGGGUGAUCGGCCACACUGGGACUGAGACACGGCCCAGACUCCUACGGGAGGCAGCAGUAGGGAAUCUUCGGCAAUGGACGAAAGUCUGACCGAGCAACGCCGCGUGAGUGAAGAAGGUUUUCGGAUCGUAAAGCUCUGUUGUAAGUCAAGAACGUGUGUGAGAGUGGAAAGUUCAC
RNAcentral lists this ribosomal RNA (463 nucleotides) under Streptococcus mutans. RNAcentral describes it as "bacterial SSU rRNA". It matches the Rfam family "Bacterial small subunit ribosomal RNA", at positions 28 to 467 of the family's 1533-position model. Lineage: Bacteria; Bacillati; Bacillota; Bacilli; Lactobacillales; Streptococcaceae. The record is from RNAcentral.